GGCGGCGGCGGCGGCGGCGGCCGCCACACCUGAGGUAGAGCAGGUGUGGGCCACUCCCGAGGCCUCCCCAUCGGAGGCGUCCCGGCAGGAGCUUCCCCAUGGGAGCCGAUCCAUGGAGGAGCAGCACCAGCAGGGGAAGAAGAGAAAGCAGAAGACACGUGGUGGUCGCCGCGUCACCAAGAGAGCUCGCCUUUCUAAUGAAGAGUCUCACGCUGGUGAGCGACCACCAGGAGCAGCUGCUCUUCCCCGUGAGUAUGUUCUAGAAUAAAAGCGUACAUUGAAGGUUUGGAGAGUUUAAUGUCUUUUCUUGUCCUGGAGGUACCUAACUGCACAGUCGUGAAACUGAACAAAGUAACUGAUGCAUUUUUAAUCCGUUGACUGAAAGACGGCAGUGGAAUGAGAGGCUCAUUGUCAUGCUUUCCCUGUAGUUAUGGGCUUGGGCAACAUGGGAGGCCUGAUGAGAGGAGGCGGCAUGUAGUAAAACUUUCAGUCGACCUACAUUUGGUCUUUCCAGACAGAAUGUGAUUCCUUCCAAAAUCACGAAACAUGACUGUUCCUACUUUUGAACAACAAUGUGAAACUGUAGCAGCAGUUUUGUGCUCCAUCACAGAGUAUUCAAAGAGAAACACUAUUCAAUGGGAUUUAUUUUGUAAGGAGAAGUUUAUCUGUACAUUGUGCCCUCUGUGUUAACGUCUUUAAGGAUGGGCAGAAUGAAUGGUAAGGACGUUUUGGAAACCUACUCAGCACUCCAGAACAAGCGUGGAACAGUUUCACAUUUAGCUGCAUGUCUGGUUGUUUCAUCUCGUGCAUUGUCAGAGAUGGACUGUGGGAUUGGAGGUGCUUUUGACAGGGAAUGUGGGCCAAAUGUAAUGGGAAUGUCUCGCAGUAAGUUUGGAGACUCCUUUGAAAGAGGAAGGGGUUGGUAUUUAUAGGGUUUUAUUUGAAAGCCACUGAUGCUUACUUCCACUCAUGCAUUUUGUUUCUUCUCUUCUGUUUGCUCACU
Oreochromis niloticus (Nile tilapia) is the source of this 1003-nucleotide long non-coding RNA. RefSeq lists it as uncharacterized. The record is from RefSeq and is a predicted model, not a curated record. The transcript has 3 exons. Lineage: Eukaryota; Metazoa; Chordata; Actinopteri; Cichliformes; Cichlidae.